GAAGAGUCUGAAGGUAGUGCAUUAUCUCACUUGAUCACAAGUCAAUUACAGAUAGAACUUCAUGUUCUGCUCUUCCCCCACUUCUAACUAUUGCACUUGACUAGUCCUAA
Molecule: non-coding RNA, 110 nt
Filed under: Otolemur garnettii (small-eared galago)
Lineage: Eukaryota; Metazoa; Chordata; Mammalia; Primates; Galagidae
Source: RNAcentral